AUGUUGAUGAUGAUGCAUUAGCAAUUGCUAAAUUAGCAAUGGCACAAAAAAUAAAACAAACAAAGGAUGUCACUCUUAAAGAUCUCAGAGACAAUCAACAUUUAUUAUUGGAGGUACGAUAUAUAAAAAAAUUAAUGAUGCAUUUCAAAAGUACAUAAUCGACUAUUUCUAUAAUAUAUUAUUUUUUUGUCAUAUAUUAGGGUGUUUCGUAUUGCUUUACGGGAAUUAUUGACAAAAUUGAAAAUAAAGCAACAAUAUGAUAUGAUUCUUGUAAAAAUUACAACACAUCUUUCUCCAAAAUUGAUGAGAGUGCACUAUGCAAAAAAUGCAAUGAAGAAGUUCUUGAGACGUCGCCCAGAAUCACAAUAAAUGUUAUACAAUGCGACUGCAAUGCUCGUGUUACACUGUUCGAUCAAGCGGCAGAGGUAUAUGUAGGAUGCUCUGUGGAUGAAUAUCGAUCUUUCUUCAAUCAAAGAGGGUGAAACAGCCUCCACAUACUAUAGAGGAUUAAGCACACAAGUGUACACAGAAAUACGCUUCAUGAUGAUGCUCAAGUCUAUAAAAUUUGAUCAACGGGGAAAUCUCAAUAUUGUAGCAAAUGCAAUCCAAAAGACGCAACCGAUGUAAAGCAUCA
This is a long non-coding RNA of Salvia miltiorrhiza (redroot sage), 634 nucleotides long. RefSeq lists it as uncharacterized. Lineage: Eukaryota; Viridiplantae; Streptophyta; Magnoliopsida; Lamiales; Lamiaceae. The transcript has 3 exons. The record is from RefSeq and is a predicted model, not a curated record.